This 483-nucleotide ribosomal RNA is filed under the name uncultured bacterium. Its description in RNAcentral is "partial 16S ribosomal RNA". It matches the Rfam family "Bacterial small subunit ribosomal RNA", at positions 28 to 523 of the family's 1533-position model. The record is from RNAcentral.
GACGAACGCUGGCGGCGUGCUUAACACAUGCAAGUCGAACGGUGAAAGCGGAGCUUGCUCCGCUGGAUCAGUGGCGAACGGGUGAGUAACACGUGGGCAACCUGCCCCUGACUUCGGGAUAACUCCCCGAAAGAGGUGCUAAUACCGGAUACGAAUCCUGCAGGCAUCUGCGGGAGUGGAAAGUUUUUCGGUCAGGGAUGGGCCCGCGGCCUAUCAGCUUGUUGGUGGGGUAGUGGCUCACGAAGGCGACGACGGGUAGCCGGCCUGAGAGGGCGACCGGGCACACUGGGACUGAGACACGGCCCAGACUCCUACGGGAGGCAGCAGUGGGGAAUAUUGCGCAAUGGGCGAAAGCCUGACGCAGCAACGCCGCGUGAGGGAUGACGGCCUUCGGGUUGUAAACCUCUUUCAGCAGGGAAGAAGCGAAAGUGACGGUACCUGCAGAAGAAGCACCGGCUAACUACGUGCCAGCCGCCGCCGUAA